CUGGCUCAGGACGAACGCUGGCGGCGUGCUUAACACAUGCAAGUCGAACGGGGAUUAGGUUGGAAAGGCUUCGGCCCGGAAGACAUAAUUCGAGUGGCGGACGGGUGAGUAACGCGUGAGCAACCUGUCCCAGACAGGGGGAUAACACUUGGAAACAGGUGCUAAUACCGCAUAAGACCACGGGGUCACAUGGCUCUGGGGUAAAAGGAGCAAUCCGGUUUGGGGUGGGCUCGCGUCCGAUUAGAUAGUUGGUGAGGUAACGGCCCACCAAGUCGACGAUCGGUAGCCGACCUGAGAGGGUGAUCGGCCACAUUGGAACUGAGAGACGGUCCAAACUCCUACGGGAGGCAGCAGUGGGGAAUAUUGGGCAAUGGGCCGAAAGCCUGACCCAGCAACGCCGCGUGAGUGAAGAAGGCCUUCGGGUUGUAAAGCUCUGUUAUAGGGGACGAAGGAAGUGACGGUACCCUAUAAGGAAGCCCCGGCUAACUACGUGCCAGCCGCGGC
Molecule: ribosomal RNA, 504 nt
Filed under: uncultured bacterium
Lineage: Bacteria
Description: bacterial SSU rRNA
Rfam family: Bacterial small subunit ribosomal RNA
Source: RNAcentral